Molecule: long non-coding RNA, 554 nt
Filed under: Dromaius novaehollandiae (emu)
Lineage: Eukaryota; Metazoa; Chordata; Aves; Casuariiformes; Dromaiidae
Description: lncRNA (ENSDNVG00000003618.1)
Source: RNAcentral
GUUUUGAAAGGCUUGAGAACAAGUCUAAUUUGCAGAUACAAGAGGGGGAAAGCAAGAAGCUCAGACUGGGCGUAGAAGAUUAGAGAAUACAGUAAAGGUCAAGACCUGGAGAAUUGAGUAUGUGAACUGUUGAAGAUAGGACCCAUGGUGUGCAGAAGACUGAGCUGGGUUGCCCUGAUACAAAUGCAGAAGGUCACAUCUGUGGGCUGCUUAGAGGACAGUUAUAAAAUCCAAGAUUUAUGGAAAAGGCAUUUGCAAGGCAAUAGGAUGGUGAUCUUUGGUAGACAUCUUAAGACCUGAUUGAUUUACACAUUCACUUUAACAGAAGAAAAAUAGGUAUCUGGAACACACAGUUCUGAGCAAGAGAGUUAUAUAGCUGCCACAAACUUGCAAUUCACUUUCAAGGUAAAUAUUUUUGUAGUAUCGGGCUUUAUGAAUUUUAGGAAACUUAACAGUUUUCCAAAACUGCCUCACUUUUUCUUUGAUAGUUUUCUAAAUUGGUCUAUUUUGAAGUAUUGAAUAAAAUGUAAAAUGAAUCUUUUAAAUUACCUCCA